Molecule: ribosomal RNA, 176 nt
Filed under: uncultured Leptolinea sp.
Lineage: Bacteria; Bacillati; Chloroflexota; Anaerolineae; Anaerolineales; Anaerolineaceae
Description: partial 16S ribosomal RNA
Rfam family: Bacterial small subunit ribosomal RNA
Source: RNAcentral
UGGGCUACCACACACGCUACAAUGGCCAACACAAUAGGUUGCUAAGCCGCGAGGUGGAGCCAAUCCUCAAAGUUGGUCUACAGUUCAGAUUGCAGGCUGCAACCCGCCUGCAUGAAGGUGGAGUUGCUAGUAACCGCAGGUCAGCUAUACUGCGGUGAAUACGUUCCCGGGGCCUU